Dreissena polymorpha is the source of this 7209-nucleotide long non-coding RNA. RefSeq lists it as uncharacterized. The transcript is spliced from 2 exons. The record is from RefSeq and is a predicted model, not a curated record. NCBI's taxonomy places the organism in Eukaryota, Metazoa, Mollusca, Bivalvia, Myida, Dreissenidae.
AUUAAUUAUUCAACAUUGUAGUAAAAGGUCAAAAUUUCAAUAUAUAUCAUUCAUAUAAUUGUACCUAAUUAAAAACAAUGAUUUCCUUCAGUCGCUUCUAAUUUGUUAGUUUAAAUAUUGUUCCUUGCAUGUUUAUUCUGUUGUUAAUGAUUAUUUGUAUAACAACAAUUGUAUAAUUAUAUAAUUGUAUAAAUUUUAUUAGCUCACCUGAGCACAACGUGCUCAUGGUGAGCUUUUGUGAUCGCUUUUUGUCCGUCGUCCGUUGUGCGUUGUGAGGCGUCAACAUUUGCCUUGUUAACUCUCUAGAGGCCACAUUUAUUGUCCAAUCUUCAUGAAAUUUGGUCAGAACAUUGGUUUCAAUGAUAUCUUGGAUGAGUUUGAAAAUGGUUACAUUUGCUUGAAAAACAUGGCUGCCAAGGGGCGGGGCAUUUUUCCUUAUAUGGCUAUAGUAAAAUCUUGUUAACACUCUAGAGGCCACAUUUAUUGUCUGAUCUUCAUAAAACUUGGUCAGAAGAUUCAUCCCAAUAAUAUCUUGGACGAGUUCGAAAAUGAUGCCGGUUUGUUGAAAAACAUGGCCGCCAGGGGAGGGGCAUUUUUCCUUAUAUGGCUAUAGUAAAACCUUGUUAACACUCUAGAGGCCACAUUUAUUUUCCGAUCUUCAUGAAACUUGCUAAGAAGAUUUGUCCCACUGAUAUCUUGGAUUAGUUCAAAAAUGGUAACCUUUGCUUGAAAAACAUGGCUGCCAAGGGGCGGGGCAUAUUUCCUUAUAUGGCUAUAGUAAAAUCUUGUUAACACUCUAGAGGCCACAUUUAUACUCCAAUCUUUAUGAAACUUGGUCAGAAGAUUCAUCCCAAUAAUAUCUUGGACGAGUUCGAAAAUGAUGCCGGUUGGUUGAAAAACAUGGCCGCCAGGGGGUGGGGCAUUUUUCCUUAUAUGGCUAUAGUAAAACCUUGUUAACACUCUAGAGGCCACAUUUAUUGUCCAAUCUUGAUGAAAUGUGGUCAGAAGAUUUGUCUUAAUGAUAUCUUGGAUGAGUUUGAAAAUGGUUACAUUUGUUUGAAAAACAUGGCUGCCAAGGGGCGGGGGCAUUUUUCCGUAUAUGGCUACACAUGUAUAUAAGGCUAUAGUAAAAUCUUGUUAACACUCUAGAGGCCACAUUUAUAGUUCGAUCUUAUUUUCCGAUCUUCAUGAAACUUGCUAAGAAGAUUUGUCCCACUGAUAUCUUGGAUUAGUUAAAAAAUGGUAACCUUUGCUUGAAAAACAUGGCUGCCAAGGGGCGGGGCAUAUUUCCUUAUAUGGCUAUAGUAAAAUCUUGUUAACACUCUAGAGGCCACAUUUAUACUCCAAUCUUUAUGAAACUUGGUCAGAAGAUUCAUCCCAAUAAUAUCUUGGACGAGUUCGAAAAUGAUGCCGGUUGGUUGAAAAACAUGGCCGCCAGGGGGUGGGGCAUUUUUCCUUAUAUGGCUAUAGUAAAACCUUGUUAACACUCUAGAGGCCACAUUUAUUGUCCAAUCUUGAUGAAAUGUGGUCAGAAGAUUUGUCUUAAUGAUAUUUUGGAUGAGUUUGAAAAUGGUUACAUUUGUUUGAAAAACAUGGCUGCCAAGGGGCGGGGCAUUUUUCCGUAUAUGGCUAUAUAAGGCUAUAGUAAAAUCUUGUUAACACUCUAGAGGCCACAUUUAUAGUUCGAUCUUCAUGAAACUCAGUCAGAAGAUUCAUCCCAAUAAUAUCUUGGAUGAGUUCAAAAAUGAUGCAUGUUUGUUGAAAAACAUUGCCACCACGGGGCGGGGCUAUUUUCCUUAUAUGGCUAUAGUAAAACCUUGUUAACACUCUAGAGGUCACAUUUAUUUUCCGAUCAUCAUGAAACUUGGUCAGAAGAUUUGUCCCAAUGAUAUCUUGGAGGAGUUUGAAAAUGGUUUUUGUUGCUUUAAAAACAUGGCCACCAGGGUUGGGGCAUUUUUCCUUAUAUGGCUAUACAUGGCUACAGUAAAACCUUGUUUACACUCUAGAGUCCACAUUUAUAGUCCAAUCUUCAUGAAAUUUGAUCAGAAGAUUGGUCUCAAUGGUAUCUUAGAUGAGUUCAAAAAUAAUUAUGUUUGCUUGAAAAAAAUGGCUUCCAAGGGGCGGGGCAUUUUUCCUAAUAUGACAAUAGUAAAAUCUUGUUAACACGCUUAGAGGCCACAUUUACUGUCCGAUCUUCAUGAAACUUGGUCAGAAGAUUCAUCCCGAUAAUAUCUUGGACGAGUUCAAAAAUGAUGCCAGGUUGGUUGAAAAACAUGGCUGCCAGGGGGCGGGGCAUUUUUCCUAAUAUGGUUAUAGUAAAACCUUGUUAACACUCUAGAGGCCACAUUUAUUUUGCGAUCUUCGUGAAACUUGGUCAGAAGAUUUGUCCCAAUAAUAUCUUGUUAUCUCAGGUGAGCGACUUUGGGCCUUUCAGGCCCUCUUGUUUGGUGACUUUUCACACAUUACACAUUUGUGUUAAAUUGUACAUUUUGUAGAAUCUCCUGGAAAGAUCUGAUAAUUGUUACUGAUCAUGAAAAUAAUUACUUUGUUCUUUGCAGAGAUUUUUUUUAAUUUUGAGAAUGUCUUGUUUUAUAUACAUUUACACUCGACAUUGUUGGCCUUGAGUGAUGCCCAUAUAUGGCCUUUAGUAAUGCCCAAAUAUGGCCUUGAGUGAUGCCCAUAUAUGGCCUUGAGUGAUGCCCAUAUAUGGCCUUGAGUGAUGCCCAUAUAUGGCCUUGAGUGAUGCCCAUAUAUGGCCUUGAGUGAUGCCCAUAUGUGGCCUUUAGUGAUGCCCAUAUAUGGCCUUUAGUUAUGCCCAUAUAUGGCCUUGAGUGAUGCCCAUAUAUGGCCUUGAGUGAUGCCCAUAAAUGGUCUUUAGUGAUGCCCAUAUAUGGCAUUUAGUGAUGCCCAUAUUAAUCUUUUCCAGAUUAACAAUUAUGUGCGUUAAACUUUAAUUGCAAUAGUAUUGAUUUCGUUAGUUUAAAGACUAACCUUAUUCCACUAAGAAAAUGCAUUUUCUAUGACCUUAAAACAUUAAAGUAAGAAGUUUUGCAUGUUGUGUGAACUUUUUUACAAAAUUGUCAGCAAACAAGCCAGAGUGUACAACUUUGUUGUAGAUGUUGAACAAACAUGAUCUAAGUCAUUGGACUUGUUUUACAAUCAUUUGUUAUUUUGUCACUGAUGUACAAGAUUGUUGAUAGAUGUUUAUUUAUAUUUUAUUGUUUUAUAUAGUGUUGUCAGUCAGUGUUGUAUUGGUAUUUUCUAUCAUUCAAACAUUGAAUGGUUUGUAAGAAAAAAAUUAGCAUCCCAGAUGUUAUUAUUUUUGGCGUCUUUUUUAUUACAAACUUCCUAAAUAGUAAAUAAGUUUAUAAAUGUUUCUAAGGGCAGCACUUGACUGUUUUAUUUGUAUAAUUAACCUAUUGCGUGUUUAAGUUUGAAACUUUUGUGAAAAUUACUCCUUUAUACUAGUAACUCUUAAUUUAUAAUCUGAUCUUUUUCAAGCAAAGCCAUGUUUGAUUCAACCAAUCAGAAAGCAGAUCUUAAACAGAAGUUAGAUUCGUACUCAGUUAACUUAAAGAAAGUGGAUACCGAUAUUUGUCAAUGACCUUUUUUUCAUUUUUGAUGCAUUUUUUGUCCCCAGAAUAGUGAGUGCAACAUAAAUCGCGUUAAGACUAAUUCUGUUUGCGACAUUUGUGAAAAAUAUUCGACAAAAUUGCAAUUUCACAGCAUUCAAUAUCAAUACAUUUGUAUCAAUGCAUUUGUAUCAAUGCAUUUGUUUGUCUGUACUUUAAACCAAUUUUCAAUCCAAUCCCGUUUAUGGCAGUAAUCUCAUUCAUCCACAUAGAUGGCAUUUAAUUAUUAAUUUAAUCAUUUAUUUACUUGGAUGUUUGUGCGCGCAAAAUGCUGUUUUGCAUUUUUUGCAAGCAGUUUUUAAAAUGUCUGUCUUUUUGAUGAUCAUUGUCUGCUCUUGUUACACUAUUUUUCUCAAGAAGGUCCCCAGGUGCGACCAUGUAGUAUCUGUUUUUUCAUUACUUUUUGCCAUUAAUUUAGUUUGGUUUGUUACAGCUUUGUUUAUUGUGUUUAUGUCGAACAUAAGGAAAAGUAUAAUAAUUUAUCUAGAAUUGAAAUUAUUUUGUUUCCGUUUGAAAAAUUACAUACAUUUCAUACAGGGACAAUUUUGAUAAAUAAUAAUUAUCAAUCAUUGAUUGAGGUUGUUGCAAGUCUAUAUGAAUUGCAAAGUCAUAUACAAAACAAGGCUAUUUUCAAGCAAUAUGGUCCCCUACCGGCUCCAAAAUUUGUCAGAAAUUCAACCAUUUUCAGAUUUUUUAUAUAUUUUGGUUGCCAUAGCAACCAUAGCAACCACAAUUUUUGACGUAGGAACAAAAUGAAAUGACGUGCAUAAUGUCAAUAUUGCCAUUAUCCACGUUUCAAGUUUCAUGAAAAAAUAUUAAGAACGGACAGACACACAGAGCGCAAACCAUAUGUGCCCUCCGGUGAAACCGGUAGGGGACGAUCAUGCAUUAUGUGCUUUCUGGUUUCAUGGAAAAAGUUGUUAUUUUAGAUUGAGAUUGUAAGUUUGAGCUGUUAAUUUCUGUACAUACAUUUAAAACUUACAUUUUCUGUUCAACAUUUUUAUUUUUACAGUGAUACAGUCUGUGUUCCAACCUUUUGCAUUUGGUUGACUAAAGCAGGUGCUUAAAUGUUUUUUAAAUUAGUUUGUUGUAUAAGAAAUAGAGGAAUGUUUAUUUUGUUUAUGUACUUGUUUGCAAUUUUUUAAAACUUAAUGAAUAAGACAUCUUAAGUUGAAAACUUAAUGAAUAAGACAUCUUAAGUAGAAUGGAAAUAUUUAUGUAAGCAUAGAAUGGUAAAAAUUUGGCAGUGCCGAGAAAAAGUGGUUAAAUGCUUUUGUGAAAAGUGUGGCCCCAGAAUAGCCUGUGCUGUCCGCAUAGGCUAAUAAGGGAUGACAGUUUCCGCCUAAACUUGAUUUGUGCUAAGAAAAUACUUCUGUGAACGAAAAAUACCAUAAAAGCAGAAAGUGUCGUCCCUGAUUAGCCUGUGCAGAUUGCACAGGCUUAUGUGGGACAACACUUUACACACACGCAUUAAACCCCCUUUUCACAGAGCACUGCUCAUGUGCUUUCCAUUUGAAGUCAUGUUUGACAUGCAAUAUAAAAUUACCUUGCAGAGGCCAAAAACUUUGAUUCAAGUAUUGUGAAAAUGUUAUUUAGUUUAAAUCAAGCAAUAGUUCUACCAUUCAACCAUUAAUGUUACUGGCAUUUUGUAGUGCAGAUUUGAUGCUUUUGCUUGUUAAGAAAUGUUUUCAGUAUAAUAUUUUCAUUUUUCUUAAACUACAGAAUUAUAUGUAUUUGUUUCUAAUACAUACACACUUGUAUAUUAGGAGGUAUGGUUGUGAAAUUAUGUUCAACACUUUCAAUGUUUUCAACUCAAAUUAUGUUUGUAUUUGAGUCAAAUAUUGUUAACGACUGCAUGUGUAAUUCAUUUUGUAAAUCGGAUCAUUGCAUAAUUUGUACAGGUAGAACUAUAUUAAUAACCUGUUUAUUGAAAUUAUAACUGUUUUGGUAUUUUUAGUAUGUUUAGCUCGAACAAACUUACUUUUGCCAUGUACUUAAUCAAAAGUAAAACAUGGGAAUACUAUUUUGAUAAAAAAUCAUUGUUCAUGACAGUUAUAAUAUAAGCCAUACCGUGAGGACACUGGGUUUAACCCUUUCUCACUCAGAAGCAAAGUGAAAAUGGCUAUGUGCAAACAGCAUAAAACCAGAACAGUCUGCUAGUAACUCGCAGUCUGUUCAGGUUUUAUGCUGUUUGCUGCUCAUCAGUAUCUAAGGGUUGAAACUGAAACCUUUAAAACUUGGAUCUAGUAAGAAAGGCCUUUAAUAAAAUUUAACUUUCUGAGGUACUACAAAUGUGUAAAAAUACGUAUCUAAGUGGUGAAGGGUUAGAUACGUAUCUAAGUGGUGAAGGGUUAGAUACGUAUCUAAGUGGUGAAAGGUUAGAUAUGUAUCUAAGUGGUGAAAGGUUAGAUACGUAUCUAAGUGGUGAAAGGUUAGAUACGUAUCUAAGUGGUGAAGGGUUAGAUACGUAUCUAAGUGGUGAAGGGUUCAAUACGUAUCUAAGUGGUGAAGGGUUAAUGCAUGUGCAUAAAGUAUCAUCACAGAUAAUUAGGGACAGCACUUUCUGAUUUUAUGGAUGUUUUCGUUUUAAGUAUGUAUGUGCUGAACAAAAAUCCAGUUUAGGCAGCAAGUGCCGUCCCUGAUUAGCCUAUGCGGAAUGCACAGGCUAAUCUGAGACAACACUCUAUGCACAUGCAUUAACUCUUUCAGUGCGGGAACCGAAUUUUGAAGGCCUUUGCAAACAGUUUGGAUCCAGAUGAGACGCCACAGAACGUGGCGUCUCAUCUGGAUCCAACUGUUUGCUAUUCUGAUAGUAUUCUUUAAAAAAAAAAUCGAAGAAAAUGCUAAUUUUAGAAAUUCAGCAGACGACAUUUUAGCAGAUGACAAAUUUCCCAGCAUGCAAAGGGUUAAGCUCUAUUCCUCAGAGUACGGCUCAUAUUCUUGUUACAUAUAUUUGUUGUAGCUGUGACAUUUGCAAUUUUUGUUGAUAGAUUUGUUUUUAAGGGACUAUUUUCAGUCUUGUUUAUAGCAUACAAUUAUUAUUGUAUCGUCCAACCAAAGUGUAAUGCCUUUGAUAUACUGUGUAAUGUUUCACUCUUUCUCUACUUUGAGCUUUAAUUUAGUUUUCAAUUAUAUAACUUAUGCAUAUAUAUUAUUGAAUUUUUUGUAGUAUGAACAAAAGAAAAAAGAAUAUAAUUGUACCGACAUUCUGUUACGGGUAUUCACAUUUCUACGUGAAGAUACGUUUUUCUAUAAAUGCAUUGACUUGCAUUUGGUAUUGAAGUCUUUACCUGAUUUUUCUUAGUUUAGAUUCUGCCAGUGCACAAAUGAUAACAUUUGGUUUUUACAUCAAAAUAUGGAACAAAACAGAGUCACUGAUUAUCAAGCGGAUCUAUAAUUGUUAAGAAGGGUGAAUGCAAGUUCUUUACGCUUCUCACAGCGGUGCUGUUUUUUUGUUCUGAACCGUUUUCUUUGUGAAACAUUAUACGGUAUGUGCGAUACCAUUACCAGCCGUAGUAAGCCUAGAUAGAUUUGUAUUGUACACAAAACAUGGUGCAAUAAAACAAUUGAAAAUUGA